This 72-nucleotide transfer RNA is filed under the name Marmota monax (woodchuck). It matches the Rfam family "tRNA". Rfam says of the family: Transfer RNA (tRNA) molecules are approximately 80 nucleotides in length. Their secondary structure includes four short double-helical elements and three loops (D, anti-codon, and T loops). Lineage: Eukaryota; Metazoa; Chordata; Mammalia; Rodentia; Sciuridae. The record is from Rfam by way of RNAcentral.
GGGAGUUUAGCUCAGUGAUAGAGUACUUGGCUAGCAUGCAGGAAGUCCUGGGAUCCAUCCUCAGUACUUCCC